UGCACGACAGGGGAGGUAGAAACAGAGAUGCACUUUCUCCUUUACUGUGAUAAAUAUUCCUCACCAAGAGAUUCAUUAUUCACAGAAAUGACUACAUUUAUUCCAAAUUUUAACUUAUUAAACCCAGAGGAAAAACAAAAAAUACUCAUGGGCGAAGGAGCAAUGGCUCCUCUUGCAGCCAAAUAUGUAUUUGCCUGCCAUAGCCUGAGGGACACUGAAUAAUAACAUCUGCAUAGUAAGCAGUAACUUACUUAUUAUGACUGUUAUUGUUAUUACUGUUAUUGUUAUUACUAUUAUUAUUGUUGUUUAUCAUUCCAAAUAGUAGUGGUAUGGGUGGUAAUGGUAAUGAUAGCAGUUUAAUGAUGGUGGUGGUGGUAGUGGUGGUAAUGAUGAUAGUAGUUGUAGUACUGAUGUAAUGGUGAAGAUGACCGUUAUUUAGUUAUAAGUUAGUUAUAGUUAAAAAUAUAUAUUUUUUAUUACAAUGUAUAUUGUAUACAUUGUUGCUUUGGCAAUAGUGACACAAUGUUUUUCAUGCCAAUAAAGCAGCUUGAAUUUGAAUUUGAGAGAGGAAGAGAGAGAGAUAGAGAGAGAGGAAGAGAGACAGGGAGAGAGUGAAAGAAAGAAGAAAGAAACAGAAGGGUUUUGAAAUGUUUGCUUGUGUGAGUAAUGACUGUCUAAUGUGCCUAUAAAACGUUCACAUACUUUCUUAAAACGUAUUUUCCUGUUACAGCUGAAUAGUGUGAAGUAAGCUGCAUUGACUACACGAUUACUGCCAAAACAAAUGAUUACCGCUGUACUCUUGUGAAAAACAUUAACUCAGUGUUUCCAGUAAAACGACUAGAUGAGUCCAUCUGGGUGAGCAAAGGCACGGAUUUCUAGUGUUGAAGAUAGUGGUGGCGGUGCAUCAUCAUCAUCCUCACAAAUAGAACACUCUAGCGCAGUGAUGAUAGCCAACACUCCACACUGGACGGCUCUACUUGCCAAAGAUGCUGGCUCCUGGGGCUUUAGGCUUCUCCAGUACCGUCUCUCCUCCAGACUUCACCCCACUGAACACUGAGGGAGCCACCUUUCCCAUACGCUCUGUGGAUGGACAGAGACAAGGCUGUCACCUAACGCGAGACAGAUUCAAGACCUAGACCUGAGGAAGAGGGUGAGACAAAGUCAAGACCAGAAAAAUGCGAGUCCAAUUCAAG
This is a long non-coding RNA of Salvelinus fontinalis (brook trout), 1193 nucleotides long. RefSeq lists it as uncharacterized. The record is from RefSeq and is a predicted model, not a curated record. NCBI's taxonomy places the organism in Eukaryota, Metazoa, Chordata, Actinopteri, Salmoniformes, Salmonidae. The transcript is spliced from 3 exons.